AUUAUUUAUGAGCUCUUGGACACACAAUCUCUUCUUCCACCGCUGCACUCGAUCAAAUGUCACCAUUUAUCAAUGAUGUGAAUAUGUGAUCAAACUGUCUAUGUCGUGUUUUCUUGUUUGGAUGAAAACCAGGCCGUGUAGUUGGUAAGUUCGCUGAUAGUGAGUUCUAAAUAGGAGUGCAACGCGUUAAAUGUUGAAAAAUAGGAAGAAGAUGAACACUAGAGGAAGAGGAAGACAGCAGCAGAGGAGGCCGAAGCCGUCCUGUUCCGAGCCAAGUUGUUCGUAGCCCGUUCACUUGUACUAGAUAAUACCCCGCGCGUUGCGGCGGGACUUUCUACCUUCUAUAUGUGGCUUCAAAGUAAAGCGCAUUUGGAUGAAUGAAAAUGAAGUAUGACAUCUAUUAAAUAUCCAGUGAAAUAUUAAUAUUUACAUUUUAAAUAUUGAACAAAUACACUUUUCUACAAACAUACAAAGAUUUAGCUCAAACAUGCAGGCAUUCUUUCCCUCAGUAGUCAACUUGGCUUGUAUGAGCAUCAAAAUAAUUAAUACACUCAAUUGACUGGUAGUGACUUCAAAAUAUUCCCUUAUUCAUCUCUAUGAAAAUGCUCAAAUUUGUUGAGCCAAGUCUUUUUUCCAAAAGGUGUUUCACCAAUUGUUAAUCACAGGAAAACAAAAUAUACGUGGACAGAAUAUAAGAUGGGCAUAAGAAGAAAAUAUGGGCAUUUGAGAGAUGUAAUGUGCACCUGAAAGCUAGUCAUCAUGUUAUGAAGCAGCCUUUGAGCAGCCAGCUAAUAUGUACUCCUAUGUUCUGAACAUCCUUUCUACUCCAAACAAAACAACAAUUAGAAAUAUCAGCAAGCGAUAUAUAUACAUAUGUUGACAAUUACAUGAACUAUUGGAGCUAGUUAAUUUAUAAUUUCAUGACAACAUGCCGUUAAUAUUUCAGGCUUAGUUACAGUGUACAUCUAUUUGUUACUUACACGGGUUAUCCUUGGCAGUGUUUAAAGACACUGAAACUUUGAAACAACUUGAAACACUUCUUAGAGAAUGGACUCUUCGUAUAUGGUUCAUAACCACUCCAUGAAGAUCCGUGGAUCGAUGAGCGGAGGCCGCAAGAUCUCCUGGUCAAACUGAGGCCUAAUGGUGAGGCGGCAUGUGCUUAGACAAUUUGAAGGGAACUUUUAAACAUGAAAUAUAUAUGAUAUUUUCGCA
Aegilops tauschii subsp. strangulata is the source of this 1212-nucleotide long non-coding RNA. RefSeq lists it as uncharacterized. Lineage: Eukaryota; Viridiplantae; Streptophyta; Magnoliopsida; Poales; Poaceae. The record is from RefSeq and is a predicted model, not a curated record.